This is a long non-coding RNA of Ictidomys tridecemlineatus (thirteen-lined ground squirrel), 4716 nucleotides long. RefSeq lists it as uncharacterized. The record is from RefSeq and is a predicted model, not a curated record. NCBI's taxonomy places the organism in Eukaryota, Metazoa, Chordata, Mammalia, Rodentia, Sciuridae.
CUCCCAUCAUGCAGCGCGAGGAGCAUGACGUCACGGGAGCUGGGAGUGAGAAUGAGCGUGGUGAUGGGGAGGGGUCUCAAAUACUUGAACUGCGCGCUGCCAGGGGAAAGUGGGAGCUGGAUCCCGGCUGCUGGGAUGUGAGAGCUGCCCUGGUCUCCGCUUUAGAGAUGAGAAGUGAGCGCGGGUCACAGCCAGAAGGUAGAGGGCCAGAGCCAGCCCGUGUUCCCAAUCUAGGCCGUCCAUGAGCAAGUCCUCUGAGUCCCCACCCAAACCACACUAUCGGCAUCUCCCGGUCUGAGUGAGUGAUGCCUGGGUCAAUUCAGUCCCUUCCACAGAAUCUGCAUGGAAACCCAGCAGGGCUGAGGCUGGUGGGCAGGACCCCAUCGAUAACUGCCCCCAACCAGGUCUACUGUGCCAUGGGCUGGCUCCUGCUGUGUGGAAAAGGUGCACAGGUAAGUCUGAGUUCAGACAGAGAGCCACCAGAGGGAGGGGUCCUCCUCCCCGCUACCAGAAAGAUGAAGAGCAGAAGAAUGGACUAUGGACGUCAGUGUCACCUGGUGCCUUGUCUGUGAGUCACAAAGAUAAUUUCCAGUCCCUUGACAGGGUCUGCACCCCAGAGGCCUUCAUCACUGCACCCGCCCGCAUACAGCUGAGGGGUCAGAGCAAACCCAAGGACCAGGCUCAGCAUCAGCAUCCUGGAGCCAAGGGGGCAUGGGAAGCAGAAGACAGAGGCAUGGCUACUUAUUAUUGCUUUAAAAAUAUAUUUUAGCAAAAUAUUGUGGUUUGUUAAAACUGGGUAGGGAUGGAGCUGUUCAUUAUAUUAUUCUUUGCCUUCAAGAUGUUCUAUAAUAAAAAUAGUUCUGAAUUUUUGAAACAUUUAGCAGCCCACCCCCCAUGCUGGACAGAAGACGGUCAAAGGCCUUGGGUAUACAGCCCGCCCCCUCCACACCGUGACUGAGCCCCUGGGGGUGAGGACGGACCUGGCCAGAGGAGUCUCCAGCCUGAGGAGCCAUCCUUGUGAAGGUCCCGACUAUCCCCUCAACAGAUCCCUGGUGGGCAGGUAGCUCUGGAAGCCACUCAGCAGCCCUACAGGAGCCAACAAGGCUUCAGGAUGGCCCCAGAGUCCCCAAAACGUCCCAACUGACGGAUGGGGGCCCAGGCUGAGCUCUGGAUCUGAGGAGAGCAGGUGCCACCCCUCACCUGCUGAGCAUGAUCACCUGGAGACAGACCGAAGUCACUGAGGGGGCCACCUGCAGGUCCUAGGUCAGAAAACCCAGAGCCUACCCCCACCCAGGGCAGCCAUGAUGAUCCCAACACUGUCAUCUGAAGGAACCUCUAAGAACCGGGUGACAUCAGUCCAAAGGUCCCUUUGCCUCUAAGAAACAGAGUGCUGAAAGUUCUGUCCUCUGCCCUGGGGCAGCCAGAAAGGGUGUCAUGGUGAAGGGGACACUGGGCUGGCAGAGCAGAGCACUGCCACCUGCACCUACACACACACCCCCAUGCGACCACGUGAGUGGUGGUGAGGAAAGACUGCAGGAGGGCCAUCCCGCUCAGCCCCUGUGGUGGCCUCAUUGUCACAGGAAGUGCAGGUGAAGAGGCACAACCACCCGUCAACCUUCAUGAGCAUCCACUUUGUGCAGGAAUAGCACAGUGAACAGGACAUGUCCUCACCGGGGAGUCUGGUUUCCUUCCAAGGAUGGUGGAAAGCCACUGGAGGCAGAGGUGGGUCUGCAAAGGACCCCCUGGCUGCUGUUAGGGAAGAGACCAGUGCUGACCGCAAGCAGAGAGGCCCUGGUGUCCCUGAAGCCCCCAUCCCAAGACCUGGGCUGCUGCCAUGUCAGCUCCACAGGGGUCUCUGUCGGGUCUGUUCACCCAAGAAGGUUCCCAGCACUGGUCAGCGCCCAGGACAUAGAGCUCUGCCGGCUGGUGAAACCAGCAAACUUCAGAUACUUUAUAGGAACUGCUCAAGCUGCGGUCUAAACUCUUGGGAACCAACCAAAGUGGGACAAAAGGGCAAAACACCAGCGUGGGAAUUCAAGGACCAAAGAAAAGAAGACAAACCACUCCUCAGAGGACAAGGUUAACACGAGGGCGGCUGCACCCUCUUGUGGCCAUCAGGGGAACUGCACCAAAGCAGCCAAGGCGGGAGCCAUCCUUGCACUUGGAGAAGUGAACUUAGCCUUGAACUUGACUUCCUUCACCUCAGGACUCCAUCUUUGAUGGGGGUCUCCACACAGGGCCCAACCAUUGGAGGACUCAGGAGGAGUUCAGUGCAAUGACAACCAGAACUUUAAAUAAAACACUGCUCUUGAAAAACAAAAUCCUCCAUUUCACCAUUGAUGUUCCCCGGGAGAAAGGCAUCGGCUGCCAGAGUGUUAAUGCAGUGGGCAUCCCACAGCUUCCUAGAAAUGUGCCCAGCCCUCCCUGCAGUUCAGUUCAUUAUCAGGCUGUCUACAAAGUCCUUUCCAAGCACGUGCAAGAUUGGGUCUGGAUCUAACAAUAGGGGAGCCUUCAGCCGGCCAUGUCCCCCCUAAACCUAGUGUGCCAAGGGGAGGGCCCCACCUCUGCCCAGCUCACACUCCUGUGACCAGCACAGGUGCUCUGCAAUAGCCGCCUGCCUUCUGCUGGUUCCUGUGUGACCCCCACACUCCACAGGGAGCAUGAGGACGGAGAACACAAGCAGGAGACCCCAGGGAAGAGGGAAAACAGCCAGCGGGCUCCUGUGCACGGCUCCAUGAAACCUUAAAUAUUCCAGCGACCCCCUCCCUCCCAGACUCUCCUUUGCAGGGGUGCCAGGAUGGAAGCAGGGGGACAGGACCCCUGGAAAGAUGGGGGUAAAUGAAGAGAGCCCCCCGUAAAGCACGCAGGAACGUGGGCCUUUGCGGUCCUGGCUGAGCUCCUGCUUCCUGACUCUGGGCGUGGAGCAGCGGCCGUCCUCCUACCCUGCAGGGGCAGGAAGGGGGACGCAAGGCCGGCAGCGGAGCAAGGAGCCCUGCAUCAAUCUUGCCUGAGAGCAGGGCUCUCACCACUCCCUGCUCCGCUCCCUCUGUGAGACAGGGUCCCCAGAACUCUGUGAUCACUCACGUUUCUGGAGCUACAACAGACCCCAGAGACAGACUCUGAUGCCCCCACUGGGCAAAGGAAGAAAAUGAGAUGCAAAGCACCUAAGUCCUUGCUGGGGCCACCCACCCUCCGGGGCUCAGACCUGCACUGCAUUAACAUGCCCUGGCCAAGGUGCCCCAUCUGACAGGUGUGCCACAGGACAGAGGAGGACUCCCACAGCCCUCUGAGCCAGCCCACGCUUGGUGCCUCCCACCUCACUGAAAUCCCCACCACCAACCCAACUCAACACGGCCAUCCAAGACACCCAACACCGGCUCUACCCCAUGCCUUGACCUGCCACCUAGACUGCAGGGGGAAGAAGUGGGCGUGUCCAGCACCAUGUGGACUCACAGGGAGUGGGUAGAGGCCUGGCCAGGCUGGGAAGGGGCCCAGGCCUUCACAGCACCAGCGUUCACUGAGCACCAGCGUUCACUGAGCACCUGCUUUUGACAGGCCUUGGAGAUCUGGGGGAAUCUGCCCAGCAGACACCCUGGGUAGGAAAAGUCCGGAGGCAUCACACAGCAGAACUGCCCCUCGAUUCAAUCACAAUCAGGCAGACAACCCUUCUUUGAAAUUUCCAACCAAAGAAUGUGAGCAGGCACGAGGGUGAAUGAACUGUGGUAUGUGCGCUCACAACAGGCCACAGCGGGAGGAACAGAGAGAGGCUGUCCUGCCUGCGCCCUUCUCCAGGAGUUCAAACACCACCCCACAGUGCUGUCAUGGGUCCCUGAGGACAGCGACCAACCUGGCUCCUGUGACAAGGAACUGGGGUCCUAGGCUGCCCUCCUCUGGCCUGGCUUCCUCGUUUGUACCCCAACAGCCCCAGCAGGUUCCCCGGGAGGCAGAAGGUUGGCUCAGGCACUCAGAGACCACGGAGGCCAAGGCGGAGCCACGCUCUAGCAAGAUGACAAGGAGGACUUGGUGAAGGACCUAACGGAAGGUGCUGGGAGAGUGAGGGCCUCCGCAGUCCAGCCUGCAGGAGCCACUGGCCCUUCAGAAAGGAUGGGCAGGUUGAGCAGGAAGGCCUCACGGGAUCCCGAGCCACAGGGUAAUACUCAGGUUGUGUGCAUGACAACAGGUGACUUUUAAAAUAGGAGAAUGAUCACAUUAAAAUAAUGGCCUUUGCGACCCGAACAGUUCCUCCCCCUUCCUCGAAUGAGACGUGAGCAUUUCAAUGUUUCCUGGAUUUAUACACUUAGGAGACUCUGGGCUGAGCCUCACCAUACACAGCCCGGAUUUAUGUCACCAUCCUCCAUCACAGAAAUGGCCAGCCGCUUCCCAGAGUCACAGUUCAAACACAGCCUCAAGUGGAUCUAUAAAUUACAGAAAAUCCAUAGCGCUAGGUAUAUCGGUGAUACUUUAAAAACAGAUCGUAAGUUCUGUAGCCAUAAAGAUGAUCAUUCCAGGCAUCGAUUUGUACCCACCACAAAUGGGGAUCCUCUGCGUGUUCACAGAGCCCUGCUCUCCAGCCCCUCUGCCCUUCACUGAAACUCCUGUGCACCCCAACGCAGGGGUCUGCCUACCAACACGGGGGCCUGCCGGGGCUUUGCAUUUACAGAGCAAUUGCUCAGCAAUUAAACCGGUGCCGUCACCAGCCUCUGUGCUGGUACCUUU